Molecule: ribosomal RNA, 842 nt
Filed under: human gut metagenome
Description: bacterial SSU rRNA
Rfam family: Bacterial small subunit ribosomal RNA
Source: RNAcentral
CGUGCCAGCAGCCGCGGUAAUACGGAGGAUUCAAGCGUUAUCCGGAUUUAUUGGGUUUAAAGGGUGCGUAGGCGGUUUGAUAAGUUAGAGGUGAAAUUUCGGGGCUCAACCCUGAACGUGCCUCUAAUACUGUUGAGCUAGAGAGUAGUUGCGGUAGGCGGAAUGUAUGGUGUAGCGGUGAAAUGCUUAGAGAUCAUACAGAACACCGAUUGCGAAGGCAGCUUACCAAACUAUAUCUGACGUUGAGGCACGAAAGCGUGGGGAGCAAACAGGAUUAGAUACCCUGGUAGUCCACGCAGUAAACGAUGAUAACUCGUUGUCGGCGAUACACAGUCGGUGACUAAGCGAAAGCGAUAAGUUAUCCACCUGGGGAGUACGUUCGCAAGAAUGAAACUCAAAGGAAUUGACGGGGGCCCGCACAAGCGGAGGAACAUGUGGUUUAAUUCGAUGAUACGCGAGGAACCUUACCCGGGCUUGAAAGUUAGCGACGAUUCUUGAAAGAGGAUUUCCCUUCGGGGCGCGAAACUAGGUGCUGCAUGGUUGUCGUCAGCUCGUGCCGUGAGGUGUCGGGUUAAGUCCCAUAACGAGCGCAACCCCUACCGUUAGUUGCCAUCAGGUGAAGCUGGGCACUCUGGCGGGACUGCCAGGUGUAAGCCGAGAGGAAGGUGGGGAUGACGUCAAAUCAGCACGGCCCUUACGUCCGGGGCUACACACGUGUUACAAUGGCAGGUACAGAGGGCAGCUACCCAGCGAUGGGAUGCGAAUCUCGAAAGCCUAUCUCAGUUCGGAUUGGAGGCUGAAACCCGCCUCCAUGAAGUUGGAUUCGCUAGUAAUCGCGCAUC